CAGUUAUUAAGUGGCAAAGACCGGAUUUGAAUCAAGAUAUCUGAUUUUUAAAAUUCACCUUGUUUCAAAGCAUUUUACUUCACCUAAGAAGUUAAUACACCUCACAACCAGAUAACUCCUUCUUUUCAAUUAGACUGUGUCUGUAUCUGGGAUCAGUUGCGAAGCAGAAGUAUGACGUGACUAAGGCCACCGCUGGGUUAGGAUACCCCCAUCCAAGGUCAGGUUCUUAACUUCACUUAGCUCUGAAGACUUACGAUUAGUUUUUCCUCUCCCAUUUUUUGGGUAGCCCUUUCUCUUCUUUUCUGUGGAAAAAUUUGUAACUUACCAGAACAGUUCACAAUAUGACAACAUUGUAGUGGUGACAUCACAGAGACAGAAGGAGGAAGAAUGGCAACCCUUGGACUCCUGGGGAUGUGGGAGCUCCUUGACCACAUGUGGUACCUCUCUUUCCUGAUCCCAGAUUGAGAGCUGUACUAGCCUGGCAUGCAGACAGCAGCUUUAGAAUCAGAUCUGCCUUCUGGCGGCUUCCCACCUAGGAGCCAUGGGACCUUUGUGAAGUCACCAAUUGUGCUGUGGAUGCUUCAUUUGUGAAGGAGAACAGGACUGCCUUAUGAGGAAACUGAGGUACAGAUGGGAAACUUGCUCAAGUUCACACAGCAAUUAAGUGAUCAAGUCCAAGAGCAAAACCAGGCAGGCUGGCUCCAGAGCUCACGAUAGUCCACCACUGCUUUCCACCAUCACUACGGAAUCAAGUCCAUGAGGAUACUCACCUUAUGUCAGUUGCCUAAGUUGGAAAUUAUAGAAUCUUCAAAUUGGAAGGGACGUUAUCAUCCAAGAUUUCAACUUUCUACUCACUGCAAAAUCCCUUCUGGAACUUCCCAGAUUGAUGAAUUUUCAUCAGCUCUGCUUGAGUACUCCCAGUGACUUGGAAAAAAAACACUGUAAUAUGGAUAUGAAAUAUAAACUGUUCAUGGAUAAAUUAUUGCAUAAUAAAAACAUGCCUAAUGGCUACACUCCCCUAA
RNAcentral lists this long non-coding RNA (1022 nucleotides) under Homo sapiens (human). Its description in RNAcentral is "PREDICTED lncRNA (TCONS_00208725)". Lineage: Eukaryota; Metazoa; Chordata; Mammalia; Primates; Hominidae. The record is from RNAcentral.